AUCUGCAAGCUGAGGAAAAAGGAGGCCAGUCCAAAUCCCAAAGCUGAAGAACUCGGAGUCCGAUGUUCAAGGGCAGGAAGCAUCGAGCACGGGAGAACGAUGGAUCUCUUCCGCAUCCUCCAGGCCGCAUCUCCAGCACCUCACACCCUGCUGGCAGCGACAGACACUGGUCCCCGCCAGCUCCGGGGUCUUGUCCCGUGCCCAGCCAGCACCCAGCCAUCGCCCAGCCAGUGCCCAGCCAUGCUGCCCCGGGCGCUGCUGCUCUCCUUCUGCGCAGCAGAACAGGGUUGGGAAGGGAGCUUCGCCCUCAUCGCCCCUAACCAGACAGUACUCAGCCAGCGUCCAGAAGGCAGCAGUCAGAAACAGUGCGGCUCCAGCAGCUUUCUUUCUAGCGGGGCUAAGACAUUCCUCAAAGAGACGGCCGCGCAGGUCACUUCAGAAGCAUGUGCAAUGCAGGGAAGGACAUCACCGGGGUGUGGACAGGGACGGGCGUUGUGGGGGUCUGUGGACCAGGGGGCGGCAAGGGUUCUCGGAGAAAGGGAGCCGUGGGUGAGCCUGAGGGGGAGAAGGAGCCACCAAGAAAGCCAGGAAAAGCCCUGGCUUGGAGGGUGGCGGCUGCUGAUGCAGGUGGGAGGGGAGGGCGCAGGGCCCCAUGGCUGCGACCCACAUGGCGGUGGGUGGUCAGGUUUUAGGCCCUCUGGCUGCAGAGUCGGGGCGUGUGGGGACUGCCGAGGGUAGAGGGGUCUUGGGCCCAGGUGUCGGCAGGCAGGCAGAGAAGGGCUAAGUUCAAGGCCAUGGAACUGACUAGAGGCUCCCGGGUAGGGCUGGAGAGGCCGGCGGGAGGGGCGCCCUGCAUGGGGCUGGGGUGCCAGGGGUGGACACCGUCCUAAAAUCAAUUAUGCGGGCCACAGCCAGUCAUUAAAAAAAUAAGCAGAAUGCUUUUCUCAGUGACAGGAAGCAUCCUCCCCUACGGUGGGUGUGAGGAGCUUGUUCUCCUUGGCAAGUGCCUCCUCAGCCCUGGCCCCUGGCUUCCAUGCCACGGCCUGUGCCCAGCUCUCCAGUCUCAUUCUCCUCUCCUGGGGCAUUUAGCUUGAAGGGUUCCUUGUGGCCCAGACCCCCAAGGUCCCAGCACCAAGC
Molecule: long non-coding RNA, 1137 nt
Filed under: Homo sapiens (human)
Lineage: Eukaryota; Metazoa; Chordata; Mammalia; Primates; Hominidae
Description: non-protein coding lnc-CLEC20A-1:2
Source: RNAcentral